This 772-nucleotide non-coding RNA is filed under the name Physella acuta. Lineage: Eukaryota; Metazoa; Mollusca; Gastropoda; Physidae. The record is from RNAcentral.
AACUCAUUUUAUUCUGGUGAAUGUAUUAAACCUCUACAUCAAUCGGACAUGGAGUUUUUUGAAUAACCAGCCGUAAACAUUAAUUAAUGCUAGAAAUAGUGAAUUAGUGAAGUAGAGUAUAUCAUUAACAAAAUAGGUGCCAGCAGUUGCGGUCAUACCUGAAAUGAUUUAAUACCUUUAGGAGGGCAUAGUACAAAGACUAAGAAAAAAGAAACAUCCAUCAGUAAAAUGCUGAUGUUUUAGUAGUUGCCGUAUUCUUAGUAGUACUUGUAAUGCCGAAACUCUUUAAAAUUAGCAAACUAGGAUUAGAUACCCUACUAUGGAGAGCGCAAGUCACCACACCUAAGCACUAAAACCUAUGUAAUGGUUAAAACUUAAAGAUUAUGGCGGCAACUUAAAAUACUCAGGGGAACUUACCAGGUAAUCGACAGCACCCGUGAGGCACUACUCACUUUAAUAAUUUAUAUAUUGCCGUUUAGGGUUUUGUUUAAGAAUACCUAAUAAUGUUAUAACAUUUAAAACAGGUCAUGAUGUAGUUUAUGAGUGAGUCUUAAGGUGAGUUACAGUAUUAAUUUUUUUUUCAGAGUUGAGUUUAAAUAUCUCGACACAAGGUGGACUUGAAAGUAAAGAUCACUUCAUAAUAAAUCUUGAAUAAUAGUUUAAGUUGUGCACAAAUCGCCCGUCGCUCUAACCUUACUUACCUUUCCUACGUAAGUAAUAAUUAGAUAAGUCGUAACACAGUAGGUGUAAAUGAAUUUGCACCUGUUUGUGA